AUUAAAGUGGCAGAUUAGUGCUAGGAAUUUAAGCUUCCUGUAUGAAGAAUUCCUUUAAUA
RNAcentral lists this transfer RNA (60 nucleotides) under Nothoaspis amazoniensis. RNAcentral describes it as "tRNA-Leu". The record is from RNAcentral. Lineage: Eukaryota; Metazoa; Arthropoda; Arachnida; Ixodida; Argasidae.